This 468-nucleotide ribosomal RNA is filed under the name uncultured bacterium. Its description in RNAcentral is "partial 16S ribosomal RNA". It matches the Rfam family "Bacterial small subunit ribosomal RNA", at positions 28 to 507 of the family's 1533-position model. The record is from RNAcentral.
GACGAACGCUGGCGGCGUGCUUAACACAUGCAAGUCGAACGGAAAGGCCCUGCUUUUGUGGUGUGCUCGAGUGGCGAACGGGUGAGUAACACGUGAGUAACCUACCCUUGACUUUGGGAUAACUUCAGGAAACUGGGGCUAAUACCGUAUAGGAGCUCCUGCUGCAUGGUGGGGGUUGGAAAGUUUCGGCGGUUGGGGAUGGACUCGCGGCUUAUCAGCUUGUUGGUGGGGGAGGUGCUUACCAAGGCUUUGACGGGUAGCCGGCCCGAGAGGGGGAACGGCCACAUUGGGCCUGAGGUACGGCGCAGACUGCUACGUGGGACAGCAGUGGGGAAUCUUGCACAGUGGGAGGACGUCUGAUGAAGCGACGCUGCGUGCGGGAUGACGGUCUUCGGGUUGUGAACCGCUUUAGCCUGUGACGAAGCGUGAGUGACGGUAAUGGGUAAAGAAGCACCGGCUAACUACGUG